RNAcentral lists this ribosomal RNA (497 nucleotides) under uncultured bacterium. Its description in RNAcentral is "partial 16S ribosomal RNA". It matches the Rfam family "Bacterial small subunit ribosomal RNA", at positions 28 to 507 of the family's 1533-position model. The record is from RNAcentral.
GAUGAACGCUGGCGGCGUGCCUAAUACAUGCAAGUCGAGCGAACGGACGAGAAGCUUGCUUCUCUGAUGUUAGCGGCGGACGGGUGAGUAACACGUGGAUAACCUACCUAUAAGACUGGGAUAACUUCGGGAAACCGGAGCUAAUACCGGAUAAUAUUUUGAACCGCAUGGUUCAAAAGUGAAAGACGGUCUUGCUAUCACUUAUAGAUGGAUCCGCGCUGCAUUAGCUAGUUGGUAAGGUAACGGCUUACCAAGGCAACGAUGCAUAGCCGACCUGAGAGGGUGAUCGGCCACACUGGAACUGAGACACGGUCCAGACUCCUACGGGAGGCAGCAGUAGGGAAUCUUCCGCAAUGGGCGAAAGCCUGACGGAGCAACGCCGCGUGAGUGAUGAAGGUCUUCGGAUCGUAAAACUCUGUUAUUAGGGAAGAACAUAUGUGUAAGUAACUGUGAACAUCUUGACGGUACCUAAUCAGAAAGCCACGGCUAACUACGUG